RNAcentral lists this ribosomal RNA (253 nucleotides) under uncultured bacterium. Its description in RNAcentral is "partial 16S ribosomal RNA". It matches the Rfam family "Bacterial small subunit ribosomal RNA", at positions 524 to 776 of the family's 1533-position model. The record is from RNAcentral.
UACGUAGGGGGCAAGCGUUGUCCGGAUUUAUUGGGCGUAAAGAGCGUGUAGGCGGCCAGGUAGGUCGGUUGUGAAAACUGGAGGCUUAACCUCCAGACGUCGACCGAAACCAUCUGGCUAGAGUCCGGAAGAGGAGAGUGGAAUUCCUGGUGUAGCGGUGAAAUGCGCAGAUAUCAGGAAGAACACCCGUGGCGAAGGCGGCUCUCUGGGACGGUACUGACGCUGAGACGCGAAAGCGUGGGGAGCGAACAGG